This 254-nucleotide ribosomal RNA is filed under the name uncultured bacterium. Its description in RNAcentral is "partial 16S ribosomal RNA". It matches the Rfam family "Bacterial small subunit ribosomal RNA", at positions 524 to 776 of the family's 1533-position model. The record is from RNAcentral.
UACAGAGGGUGCAAGCGUUGUUCGGAAUCAUUGGGCGUAAAGCGCACGUAGGCGGCCUGCUAAGUCGGAUGUGAAAGCCCCAGGGCUCAACCCUGGAAGUGCAUUCGAAACUGGCGGGCUUGAAUGUCGGAGAGGGCAGUGGAAUUCCGAGUGUAGAGGUGAAAUUCGUAGAUAUUCGGAGGAACACCAGUGGCGAAGGCGACUGCCUGGACGAACAUUGACGCUGAGGUGCGAAAGCGUGGGGAGCAAACAGG